UGUCCUACGGGGGGCAGCAGUGGGGAAUAUUACACAAUGGGGGGAACCCUGAUGCAGCGACGCCGCGUGAGUGAAGAAGUAUUUCGGUAUGUAAAGCUCUAUCAGCAGGGAAGAAAAUGACGGUACCUGACUAAGAAGCCCCGGCUAACUACGUGCCAGCAGCCGCGGUAAUACGUAGGGGGCAAGCGUUAUCCGGAUUUACUGGGUGUAAAGGGAGCGUAGACGGUUAUGCAAGUCUGAAGUGAA
This 246-nucleotide ribosomal RNA is filed under the name uncultured bacterium. RNAcentral's name for it is "partial 16S ribosomal RNA". It matches the Rfam family "Bacterial small subunit ribosomal RNA", at positions 335 to 598 of the family's 1533-position model. The record is from RNAcentral.